RNAcentral lists this ribosomal RNA (124 nucleotides) under Bacillus amyloliquefaciens. RNAcentral's name for it is "partial 16S ribosomal RNA". It matches the Rfam family "Bacterial small subunit ribosomal RNA", at positions 1 to 121 of the family's 1533-position model. The record is from RNAcentral. Lineage: Bacteria; Bacillati; Bacillota; Bacilli; Caryophanales; Bacillaceae. RNAcentral also lists the same sequence under 26 other names.
UUAUCGGAGAGUUUGAUCCUGGCUCAGGACGAACGCUGGCGGCGUGCCUAAUACAUGCAAGUCGAGCGGACAGAUGGGAGCUUGCUCCCUGAUGUUAGCGGCGGACGGGUGAGUAACACGUGGG